GUGAGGAAUUUUCCGCAAUGGGCGAAAGCCUGACGGAGCAAUGCCGCGUGAAGGAUGAAGGCCUAUGGGUUGUAAACUUCUUUUCUCAGAAAAGAAUUAUGACGGUAUUUGAGGAAUAAGCAUCGGCUAACUCUGUGCCAGCAGCCGCGGUAAGACAGAGGAUGCAAGCGUUAUCCGGAAUGAUUGGGCGUAAAGCGUCUGUAGGUUGUUUAAAAAGUAUUCUGUCAAAGAUUAGGGCUUAACCCUAGAUAGGCAGAAUAAACUUUUAAGCUAGAGUUUGGUAGAGGCAGAGGGAAUUCCCGGUGGAGCGGUGAAAUGCGUAGAUAUCGGGAGGAACACCAAAGGCGAAGGCACUCUGCUGGGCCAAUACUAACACUGAGAGACGAAAGCGAGGGGAGCAAAUGGGAUUAGAAACCCCGGUAGUCC
Molecule: ribosomal RNA, 426 nt
Filed under: uncultured bacterium
Lineage: Bacteria
Description: bacterial SSU rRNA
Rfam family: Bacterial small subunit ribosomal RNA
Source: RNAcentral